UACGUAGGGUGCAAGCGUUGUCCGGAAUUAUUGGGCGUAAAGAGCUCGUAGGCGGUUUGUCGCGUCUGCUGUGAAAACCCGAGGCUCAACCUCGGGCCUGCAGUGGGUACGGGCAGGCUAGAGUUCGGUAGGGGAGACUGGAAUUCCUGGUGUAGCGGUGAAAUGCGCAGAUAUCAGGAGGAACACCGGUGGCGAAGGCGGGUCUCUGGGCCGAUACUGACGCUGAGGAGCGAAAGCGUGGGGAGCGAACAGG
This 253-nucleotide ribosomal RNA is filed under the name uncultured bacterium. Its description in RNAcentral is "partial 16S ribosomal RNA". It matches the Rfam family "Bacterial small subunit ribosomal RNA", at positions 524 to 776 of the family's 1533-position model. The record is from RNAcentral.